Acanthosepion pharaonis is the source of this 83-nucleotide non-coding RNA. NCBI's taxonomy places the organism in Eukaryota, Metazoa, Mollusca, Cephalopoda, Sepiida, Sepiidae. The record is from the annotation of a GenBank genome assembly.
CGGUUCCUGUACGGUCACCGAAGUCAAGCAACGUCAGGCCUGGUCAGUACCGCGAUGGGUGACCGCUUGGGAAUACCAGGUGU